Molecule: ribosomal RNA, 360 nt
Filed under: uncultured Thermus sp.
Lineage: Bacteria; Thermotogati; Deinococcota; Deinococci; Thermales; Thermaceae
Description: bacterial SSU rRNA
Rfam family: Bacterial small subunit ribosomal RNA
Source: RNAcentral
CAGGGAGCCCUAGCACAGGUGCUGCACGGCCGUCGUCAGCUCGUGCCGUGAGGUGUUGGGUUAAGUCCCGCAACGAGCGCAACCCCGCCGUUAGUGCCAGCGGUUCGGCCGGGCACUCUAACGGGACUGCCCGCGAAAGCGGGAGGAAGGAGGGGACGACGUCUGGUCAGCAUGGCCCUUACGGCCUGGGCGACACACGUGCUACAAUGCCCACUACAAAGCGAUGCCACCCGGCAACGGGGAGCUAAUCGCAAAAAGGUGGGCCCAGUUCGGAUUGGGGUCUGCAACCCGACCCCAUGAAGCCGGAAUCGCUAGUAAUCGCGGAUCAGCCAUGCCGCGGUGAAUACGUUCCCGGGCCUU